Molecule: ribosomal RNA, 242 nt
Filed under: uncultured Actinomycetales bacterium
Lineage: Bacteria; Bacillati; Actinomycetota; Actinomycetes; Actinomycetales
Description: partial 16S ribosomal RNA
Rfam family: Bacterial small subunit ribosomal RNA
Source: RNAcentral
CACUCGAGUGGCGAACGGGUGAGUAACACGUGGGUGAUCUGCCCUGCACUUCGGGAUAAGCUUGGGAAACUGGGUCUAAUACCGGAUAGGAGCCAUCUUUAGUGUGGUGGUUGGAAAGUUUUUCGGUGUAGGAUGAGCUCGCGGCCUAUCAGCUUGUUGGUGGGGUAAUGGCCUACCAAGGCGGCGACGGGUAGCCGGCCUGAGAGGGUGUACGGCCACAUUGGGACUGAGAUACGGCCCAG